This 230-nucleotide ribosomal RNA is filed under the name uncultured bacterium. Its description in RNAcentral is "partial 16S ribosomal RNA". It matches the Rfam family "Bacterial small subunit ribosomal RNA", at positions 524 to 751 of the family's 1533-position model. The record is from RNAcentral.
GACAGAGGGUGCAAACGUUGUUCGGAAUUACUGGGCGUAAAGCGCGUGUAGGCUGCUUCGCAAGUCGGGUGUGAAAGCCCUGGGCUCAACCUAGGAAGUGCACUCGAAACUGCGAAGCUGGAGUCCUGGAGAGGAAGGCGGAAUUCUCGGUGUAGAGGUGAAAUUCGUAGAUAUCGAGAGGAACACCGGUGGCGAAGGCGGCCUUCUGGACAGUGACGUGAACGCUGAGA